This is a long non-coding RNA of Phycodurus eques (leafy seadragon), 482 nucleotides long. RefSeq lists it as uncharacterized. The record is from RefSeq and is a predicted model, not a curated record. The transcript is spliced from 2 exons. NCBI's taxonomy places the organism in Eukaryota, Metazoa, Chordata, Actinopteri, Syngnathiformes, Syngnathidae.
CAACAAGAGUGGAUUAUAAGGACUAAAUGGAGAAAAACGUCUGUUGGUGGUCACCGGUGCUCAGGACAGGAGAGGACGUUCGUUUAAGGCUUGCUUGACCUUCCUACAAAGAGUGGCUCCAGGACAAAAUAAUGGACAAUGCAGCAGUGGUUGCUCGAGUCGGGAAAUGCGGCUGGUACAUCAUGGAAAAGAUCAUCAUCAUAAACUAAAAAAUGGACUCUCAGUCAGAGGUUUGCAACCUCUUAGUGUCCCCCGUGACAUGUAAAACCCCUACGAUAUGUUAAUUGUUAUUUAAUGCUGUUAUUUUUAAUGUUGUUGUAUCAGUUUUGUUUGAUAAAUUUAAUCUGCCUUGUUAAAUAACGUACUGAAGUAAUACUACCUAAUUGUUACCAGAUAUGUAUUAUAAGUAUUAAUAAAUGUGUAGCCUAAAUACGAUUAUUUUUUUAAAUAAAUAAUUGUUGUCAUGGACAAGUGCAAUAGUC